Molecule: long non-coding RNA, 380 nt
Filed under: Pan troglodytes (chimpanzee)
Lineage: Eukaryota; Metazoa; Chordata; Mammalia; Primates; Hominidae
Description: lincRNA
Source: RNAcentral
UGGACUUUGAAAUUGUAAGUGUUUUACAUAUUACCAAACUAAGUUUUUAAGAUAGUCCCUAAAAUUGAAAGAAUGGUAUCUGAAAUGAAUGAAUCUAAAUUCCUUGGAUUGCAUUCUACAGGCGCCAACCCUGAGACCAAAAUUUGGAAGGUGGCCCUGAGCAGCAGCUGAAGGGAAGUGGGAGCUUGCCUGUUCACUCUGGCUGGUCAUAUGCAGAAAACCGAAACUAGACCCCUUUCUGACACCUUAUAUAAAAAUUAACUCAAGAUGCAUUAAAGAUUUAAACGUGAGACCUAAAACCAGAAAAAUCCUAGAAGAAAACCUAGGCAAUACCAUUGAGGACAUAAGCAUGGGCAAAGACUUUCAUGACUAAAACACCA